UCAGAGGAAUCAGGGGAAGGAAAAACGUGGCACAGGGUUUCACCGGUUCGGAUCCUGGGUGUGGACAUGGCACCGCUCAUCUGGCCAUGCUGAGGCGGAAUCCCACAUGCCACAACUAGAAGGACCCGCAACUAAACCUGGGUUUGCUUCCUGCUACCAGCAGCAGUGUGGGAUGUGGCAGCAUCUUCCCUCUCCCCUUCUGUGCCCCGACUUCCUCUCCUCUCCCUGUCCCGGAGAAGACUGCCUGUGGAUCCUCCACAUUCAGACCGAGGAAAGGAAGAGAAGCAAUAAGCAGGAAAGGCCCGAUGUCACUGAUAAUACCGCGACCUGGUCUAAUGCUCUCAUGGCAGGACUUAGAUCUGUCUGUAGUAGAGCACUUUCAAGGUUCCUCAGAAAUGUCCUCAUGGAAAAAUUCUAAAUACAAUUCCUCUGAGAGUGGAACUGGAAGAAUUUACCUCAAAUUUAAGACUUAGUGCUUAACCUUGUAGCAUCACAAAAGAUUUCAAUAAGUCUUCAAUCUGACUUUGAUUUCAAUAAGUGUGAAGGUGACACUCAGAACUAGGUGGACUUUUGUGACUAUUUCCAUCACUAGAGUUCAGUGGGUGUGAUGCUAGGUGACUUCUGAGGACAAGUCAUACAAGGCCGGGCACCUGCCAUGUUGUUCACCAGAACUCUUGCACUGGAACCUUGAGUUGUCCUGUGAGGAUCUGACAGCCCCGUGGGCUGCCUCCACAGAGAGACUGCAUGGAGAAGCCCUGAGAGGACAGGAAAAGAAAGAGGUGCCUGGACAGGCCCCUGUUCCACCACAUCCCCCCCUAUUGUCCCAGCUGCAGCUCCCAUCUGACACUACCAUAUGAGAGAUUGCGAGCCAGAGAUCCCAGCCAAGCCCUUCACAUAGAAAC
RNAcentral lists this long non-coding RNA (902 nucleotides) under Equus caballus (horse). RNAcentral's name for it is "lncRNA (ENSECAG00000060385.1)". Lineage: Eukaryota; Metazoa; Chordata; Mammalia; Perissodactyla; Equidae. The record is from RNAcentral.